RNAcentral lists this non-coding RNA (32 nucleotides) under Mus musculus (house mouse). Lineage: Eukaryota; Metazoa; Chordata; Mammalia; Rodentia; Muridae. The record is from RNAcentral.
UGGAACCAUAGAUCUACAAUUGGCUUUAGCUC